Molecule: small RNA, 751 nt
Filed under: Pseudomonas aeruginosa PAK
Lineage: Bacteria; Pseudomonadati; Pseudomonadota; Gammaproteobacteria; Pseudomonadales; Pseudomonadaceae
Description: putative antisense RNA
Source: RNAcentral
AUCCGGCACCUUGCGAAAAGCCCGCCCCUGGCGGGCUUUUUCAUUUCCGGCGUACGAACCCCGGGCCGCGCACAAAAAAGCCCGCCAGGUGGCGGGCAAGGGUAACAAGCAUUCUGGAUGCAGCCGGGGCUCAGGCCUUGGCUUCGAAGAUCACAUACACCUUGCGACAGGCUUCGAGCACUUCCCAGGUGCCCUGGAAGCCGGCAGGGAUCACGAAGCGGUCGCCGGCGCGCACGGUCUUGGCGUUGCCGUGCCGGUCGCGCAGCACCGAGACGCCCUGGAUGAUCUCGCAGUACUCGUGUUCGGUGUAGUUCACCGUCCACUGGCCCACGGCGCCUUCCCAGAUACCGGCGUUGAACUGCCCGCAGGGGCUGCCGUAGUGGUUGCGCACGCUCUGUUUCGGGUCGCCCUUGAGGAUUUUCUCCGGCGCCGGGCUGUAGUGCUCCGGGGCGCUGUUGGCCUGGGCGAAGUCGACGAUCUGUUCGAUGUUCAUGCUGACUCUCGGUUCUUGUGGUGCUGGCCAGUUGGGGGGCAGGGCGGCGCCAGCCGCCCGCCUGGAUCAGACGCUGGCGCGGAUGGCCUGGGCCAGGCGCUCGACGAUCUGGUCGAUGUGGGGCUUGUCGAUGAUCAGCGGCGGCGACAUGGCGAUGAUGUCGCCGGUCACCCGGACCAUCAGGUCGUGCUCCCAGAAGCAGCGCUCGAAGACGUCGUAGCCGCGCUUGCCGGGGCCGUCCGCGUGCGGCGCCAGUUG